Molecule: ribosomal RNA, 566 nt
Filed under: uncultured bacterium
Lineage: Bacteria
Description: partial 16S ribosomal RNA
Rfam family: Bacterial small subunit ribosomal RNA
Source: RNAcentral
UGGGGAAUUUUGGACAAUGGGGGAAACCCUGAUCCAGCCAUCCCGCGUGUGCGAUGAAGGCCUUCGGGUUGUAAAGCACUUUUGGCAGGAAAGAAACGUCGCGGGUUAAUACCCCGCGGAACUGACGGUACCUGCAGAAUAAGCACCGGCUAACUACGCGCCAGCAGCCGCGGUAAUACGUAGGGUGCAAGCGUUAAUCGGAAUUACUGGGCGUAAAGCGUGCGCAGGCGGUUCGGAAAGAAAGAUGUGAAAUCCCAGAGCUUAACUUUGGAACUGCAUUUUUAACUACCGGGCUAGAGUGUGUCAGAGGGAGGUGGAAUUCCGCGUGUAGCAGUGAAAUGCGUAGAUAUGCGGAGGAACACCGAUGGCGAAGGCAGCCUCCUGGGAUAACACUGACGCUCAUGCACGAAAGCGUGGGGAGCAAACAGGAUUAGAUACCCUGGUAGUCCACGCCCUAAACGAUGUCAACUAGCUGUUGGGGUCUUCGGACCUUGGUAGCGCAGCUAACGCGUGAAGUUGACCGCCUGGGGAGUACGGUCGCAAGAUUAAAACUCAAAGGAAUUGAC